RNAcentral lists this long non-coding RNA (1731 nucleotides) under Homo sapiens (human). Its description in RNAcentral is "HSALNT0265911". Lineage: Eukaryota; Metazoa; Chordata; Mammalia; Primates; Hominidae. The record is from RNAcentral.
GGCCAAGCUGGAGGGCAGCCAGGCGGCAGCAGAAGCCUCUCCUCCUCCUGGUCCCCAUGGUGGGGGCUGGUUGCCACCCUCCCCCUUCCCCUGGGGAUGCUGCUGGUAGUCACUAUGGGGAUAAAGCGAUUAUGUUUCCAGACCAUAGGGAGCCAACUCCACCUGCAGGCCUGAGGGCCCUAGCCCCACUGCCGCCUGGGCAUGUCAGGGAGAGGGAUCACAGCUUUGCUUCCCACUGAGUGUCCUGGCCCCAGACAGCCCAUGCCUAAUGUGGGGCCACCUCCCUUUCCUUCUAACAUGAGCUGCCUCUCCUGACCUCAGAUGGCCUUGAUGCCUGACUGCUGUGUCCUGCUGGAGGAAUGAGGGCUGUAGGAGCCUCAAGAACAAAGGCCAUCAGAGAGGCCGUUUGCUGGCAUGGAGCCCCCCAGGACUCAUCAACCAUGGUUGAGGUUGACUGAAAACAGAGCAAGAGAGGCCCCCGCCUGUCUCAGAUGAGACUGGUGUUUUUUGCAAAUGGAUUACUUAAAGGUGUCUUGAAGGGGUAUGAUACUGCGAUAUGCACCUUUCACUGCCUGGAAUCUUCCUGAGUUUUGUCUUGGUCGAGCUGCCUUCCAUGUACAGGGUGGAGGCUGAAACCCAUGCAGACAUCCCCAGUCACUCAUGAAGGCCUGCUGUUCAGGGUUCCCUGCUUUAUUCCCUGUGCCAUGCCCUGCAUGAUGCCAGUACCGUGGGGCCCAUGGGUUACCAAUCUGCAAACACGAGAGACACGGCUCAACAAAACCUCUCCACAACCAUGGAAAGCACGGGGCUGCUGAGCGCGACCCAGAGAACCGCAGAGUGUGUGUCUCAAGCUCUCUGGCCACAUGAACCUGUUGGGUGGGUUUUUGGGUCCCACUGGCUGCCCUUUUUACAUGGCUAUUUUUCUGGGCCUUUCUCUUUAAAAUGUUGACCAACAUGAAUUUUAAAUUGUUGAGUUUAGGUGCAUAAAAUGUAUAUAUAAUGGAAUUUGUCAGCUUUUCAAGAUGCAGCAUAGAGUCUCUGAUCCUUUGAUGGCGUCCCCACUUCCCUGUGGACAUAGGGCUUGCCCUCUUGCUUAUUUUAGCAGCUCAAGUCCUUUGCCCUCAAUUUUUUUGCUUGUCUUAUCCAGCAGAGUCUCAUGCACGGUUACUUUUAGUUAUCAACACACUUCCCUGCUCAUUUGUUGGUUCCUUUAACUGACCUUCAAGAGAUCCUAGAAUCAAGAUGGUGCCGUGAUCAGGGAGCAACCAAAUAACCUUUGCAAAUCUAUCUCUAAAUACAUACACACACGCCUGCACACACACAAAUGCAUUCAUAUGUGCGUGUGUAUGUACACACAGAUUGAGUAUCCCUUAUCUGAAGUGCUUGGGACCAGGAGUGUUUUGGAUUUCCAAUAUUUUUGGAUUUUGGAAUAUGCACAUACAUGUAAUGAGCUAUCUUGGAGGAUGAGACCCACUUAUGUCUAAACGCAAAACUCACUUAUGUUUCAAACAUACCUUAAAACACAGCCUGAAGGUAAUUUUAUAUAAUAAUUUAAAUAAUUUUGUGCAUGAAACAAAAUUUUGACCUCUAUCACAUGAGGUCAGGGGUGGAAUUUUCAGUGUCAUGUUGAUGUUUACGAAAUUUUGGAUUUUAGAGCAUUUCAGAUUUCAGAUUUUCAGAUUAUAAGUGCUCAACCUGUCUAUAUAAGUGUGUUCAUUAAUUUGCUUUCAG